This is a long non-coding RNA of Bombyx mori (domestic silkworm), 1291 nucleotides long. RefSeq lists it as uncharacterized. Lineage: Eukaryota; Metazoa; Arthropoda; Insecta; Lepidoptera; Bombycidae. The transcript is spliced from 2 exons. The record is from RefSeq and is a predicted model, not a curated record.
UUCGAUUUACGGCCGUUUUCAAUAACGUAUCUGAGUUUUCGGAUAGAUAGCUAUCUCCGAAUAUCAGCAAGAGCGUAUCUAUCCUUAGUUUGCGUUUCACAAUCACGGAUAAGUGCUAUCUCUCUUUAACCAAAAGUAGAUAGCUUCUUCCCUCCGAUUUAUCCGAGCCUCUUGAUACGUUUCGUUCUACUACAAAUACGAAACAACAUCAGGAUCAAGACUUAUUUUAUUUUAUUCUAAAUUAUAACUAUAAUUUAACCAGCAUAUUGUAGACUAUCAUAAACACAUUUGUUUAUAACAAAAAGUAAUAAAAACAUGUAGAUUUUUUUAAAUUGGACGUAUUGCUAUUUUUAUCCUAGUCGAAAUUAUGAAACGAAACGUUUUGACAGUCCGUUUGCCAAUAAGCAGUGAUCAGUUUUUUUUGUUUGUUUUUCUAUUGUUUACCUACUAUAUUAGAUGAUGACUUACCUCCAAAACGCUUUAAAACUUUCGUUUAUAAUUCUAAGUGUGUUUAUAAUUAAAGAACUACAGUGAAAUAAAAUGAAUUCUGUAAGUAUCUAUGAACUACAUUGAUAAUAAUAAUUUUACUUUGAAAACUUUGAGUUCAAGUUUAGAAAAUAUAUCUUUUUCAGUCAAGAAAGGCAGCACCCAUGACAAAAGAUGAGACGAUGAUUCUAGCAGAACUUGUGGCGGCGAAAAAACAUUUCAAUAAUAAGGCAACAAAUGCCACAAACAAUAAAUUGAAGGAGCAGGCUUGGCAAACCCUUGUAAAUGAUUUUAAUUCGUCGAUUCGUCGUUUCCCACGAACUCCAUCGCAGCUUCGACUAAAAUGGGAAAACUUAAAGAACGCUACGGCAACAUAAGAAACAACCUUAGUAAGGCUGGAGGUGGUAAGGAUUACAGAUGAAAUUUUGGAUAAAGCAUGCACAUUGUUGUAGGUCACAUAUAAUAUUUUUAACACUUUUACAGCCAAGCGGAAACAAGAUGGAAGAAAAGAAAUGCAAGGCUAGCAUAGGGACAAUGCAUUAGCAGAAUAUCUAAUAGCAAAAAAGAGAUUUGACUUGGAAAAUAAAGAAAAGGAGAUUGUUGUAGCAAAAGUUAAGUUAGAUUUAGAUAAUUUAAAAAAUUAAAAAUUACUUAAAAGGAAUAUUAAAUUUCAUAAAUUAAGUAGACAAUAAUGAUUUUAUGUUAGAUAGUUUUUUAAGUAUAUGUACAAAUUCUAAAUUAAAUAUCUUGCAUGUACUAACUACCAUGUAAUUAUCAUUUUGGAAAAUAAAAAAUAGUCAAAUUA